UUCCAGACUCCUACGGGAGGCAGCAGUGGGGAAUAUUGCACAAUGGGGGAAACCCUGAUGCAGCGACGCCGCGUGAGUGAAGAAGUAUUUCGGUAUGUAAAGCUCUAUCAGCAGGAAAGAAAAUGACGGUACCUGACUAAGAAGCCCCGGCUAACUACGUGCCAGCAGCCGCGGUAAUACGUAGGGGGCAAGCGUUAUCCGGAUUUACUGGGUGUAAAGGGGGCGCAGACGGCAGCGCAAGCCAGGAGUGAAAGCCCGGGGCCCAACCCCGGGACUGCUCUUGGAACUGCGCGGCUGGAGUGCAGGAGGGGCAGGCGGAAUUCCUGGUGUAGCGGUGAAAUGCGUAGAUAUCAGGAGGAACACCGGUGGCGAAGGCGGCCUGCUGGACUGCGACUGACGUUGAGGCCCGAAAGCGUGGGGAGCAAACAGGAUUAGAUACCCCCGUAGAA
Molecule: ribosomal RNA, 449 nt
Filed under: uncultured bacterium
Lineage: Bacteria
Description: partial 16S ribosomal RNA
Rfam family: Bacterial small subunit ribosomal RNA
Source: RNAcentral